This 72-nucleotide transfer RNA is filed under the name Chloroflexota bacterium. RNAcentral describes it as "Chloroflexi bacterium (rhizosphere metagenome) tRNA-Thr". It matches the Rfam family "tRNA". Rfam says of the family: Transfer RNA (tRNA) molecules are approximately 80 nucleotides in length. Their secondary structure includes four short double-helical elements and three loops (D, anti-codon, and T loops). RNAcentral also lists the same sequence under 1 other name. The record is from RNAcentral. Lineage: Bacteria; Bacillati; Chloroflexota.
GCCGACGUAGCUCAGGGGUAGAGCAGCGCUUUCGUAAAGCGCGGGUCGGGGGUUCGAAUCCCUUCGUCGGCU